This 304-nucleotide ribosomal RNA is filed under the name Pseudomonas aeruginosa. RNAcentral's name for it is "bacterial SSU rRNA". It matches the Rfam family "Bacterial small subunit ribosomal RNA", at positions 379 to 675 of the family's 1533-position model. The record is from RNAcentral. Lineage: Bacteria; Pseudomonadati; Pseudomonadota; Gammaproteobacteria; Pseudomonadales; Pseudomonadaceae.
AAGCCUGAUGCAGCCAUGCCGCGUGUGUGAAGAAGGCCUUCGGGUUGUAAAGCACUUUCAGCGGGGAGGAAGGCGUUAAGGUUAAUAACCUCAUCGAUUGACGUUACCCGCAGAAGAAGCACCGGCUAACUCCGUGCCAGCAGCCGCGGUAAUACGGAGGGUGCAAGCGUUAAUCGGAAUUACUGGGCGUAAAGCGCACGCAGGCGGUCUGUCAAGUCGGAUGUGAAAUCCCCGGGCUCAACCUGGGAACUGCAUUCGAAACUGGCAGGCUAGAGUCUUGUAGAGGGGGGUAGAAUUCCAGGUG